GGGUUCAAUUCCGGAGAGGGAGCCUGAGAAACGGCUACCACAUCUAAGGAAGGCAGCAGGCGCGCAAAUUACCCAAUUCUAACAGCAUAAGAGAGGUAGUGACAAGAAAUAACAGUACAAGGCAGUUAAAAUGCUUUGUAAUUGGAAUGAUAGAAAUUUAAAUACUUUUUAAAGUAUCAAUUGGAGGGCAAGUCUGGUGCCAGCAGCCGCGGUAAUUCCAGCUCCAAUAGCGUAUAUUAAAAUUGUUGCAGUUAAAAAGCUCGUAGUUAAAUUUUUGCUAAAAAUAACCGGUCUGCUUUUAUUAAUAAAAGUGGUAUCUUGGUGUGUUUUUAGCAAUAAUGUCCUUUGAAAUGUUUUUUACUUUAUUGUAAAAAGCAAUUUUCAGGAUUUUUACUUUGAGAAAAUUAGAGUGUUUCAAGCAGGCUAACGUUUUGAAUACUGCAGCAUGGAAUAAUAAAAUAGGAUUUUAGUUCUACGUUAUUGGUUUU
This 488-nucleotide ribosomal RNA is filed under the name Hepatozoon sp. DB1210. RNAcentral's name for it is "bacterial SSU rRNA". It matches the Rfam family "Eukaryotic small subunit ribosomal RNA", at positions 373 to 851 of the family's 1831-position model. Lineage: Eukaryota; Apicomplexa; Hepatozoidae. The record is from RNAcentral.